This 623-nucleotide ribosomal RNA is filed under the name Streptomyces pulveraceus. RNAcentral describes it as "bacterial SSU rRNA". It matches the Rfam family "Bacterial small subunit ribosomal RNA", at positions 398 to 1033 of the family's 1533-position model. Lineage: Bacteria; Bacillati; Actinomycetota; Actinomycetes; Kitasatosporales; Streptomycetaceae. The record is from RNAcentral.
CGCGUGAGGGAUGACGGCCUUCGGGUUGUAAACCUCUUUCAGCAGGGAAGAAGCGAGAGUGACGGUACCUGCAGAAGAAGCGCCGGCUAACUACGUGCCAGCAGCCGCGGUAAUACGUAGGGCGCAAGCGUUGUCCGGAAUUAUUGGGCGUAAAGAGCUCGUAGGCGGCUUGUCACGUCGGAUGUGAAAGCCCGGGGCUUAACCCCGGGUCUGCAUUCGAUACGGGCAGGCUAGAGUGUGGUAGGGGAGAUCGGAAUUCCUGGUGUAGCGGUGAAAUGCGCAGAUAUCAGGAGGAACACCGGUGGCGAAGGCGGAUCUCUGGGCCAUUACUGACGCUGAGGAGCGAAAGCGUGGGGAGCGAACAGGAUUAGAUACCCUGGUAGUCCACGCCGUAAACGUUGGGAACUAGGUGUUGGCGACAUUCCACGUCGUCGGUGCCGCAGCUAACGCAUUAAGUUCCCCGCCUGGGGAGUACGGCCGCAAGGCUAAAACUCAAAGGAAUUGACGGGGGCCCGCACAAGCAGCGGAGCAUGUGGCUUAAUUCGACGCAACGCGAAGAACCUUACCAAGGCUUGACAUACACCGGAAAGCAUCAGAGAUGGUGCCCCCCUUGUGGUCGGUGU